This 77-nucleotide transfer RNA is filed under the name Brumicola nitratireducens FR1064. RNAcentral describes it as "tRNA-Asp (GTC) (tRNA-Asp-GTC-1 1 to 3)". It matches the Rfam family "tRNA". Rfam says of the family: Transfer RNA (tRNA) molecules are approximately 80 nucleotides in length. Their secondary structure includes four short double-helical elements and three loops (D, anti-codon, and T loops). The record is from RNAcentral. RNAcentral also lists the same sequence under 15 other names. Lineage: Bacteria; Pseudomonadati; Pseudomonadota; Gammaproteobacteria; Alteromonadales; Alteromonadaceae.
GGAGUGGUAGUUCAGUUGGUUAGAAUACCGGCCUGUCACGCCGGGGGUCGCGGGUUCAAGUCCCGUCCACUCCGCCA